GAUGAACGCUGGCGGCGUGCCUAAUACAUGCAAGUCGAGCGAACAGACGAGGAGCUUGCUCCUUUGACGUUAGCGGCGGACGGGUGAGUAACACGUGGGUAACCUACCUAUAAGACUGGGAUAACUUCGGGAAACCGGAGCUAAUACCGGAUAAUAUUUCGAACCGCAUGGUUCGAUAGUGAAAGAUGGCUUUGCUAUCACUUAUAGAUGGACCUGCGCCGUAUUAGCUAGUUGGUAAGGUAACGGCUUACCAAGGCAACGAUACGUAGCCGACCUGAGAGGGUGAUCGGCCACACUGGAACUGAGACACGGUCCAGACUCCUACGGGAGGCAGCAGUAGGGAAUCUUCCGCAAUGGGCGAAAGCCUGACGGAGCAACGCCGCGUGAGUGAUGAAGGUCUUCGGAUCGUAAAGCUCUGUUAUUAGGGAAGAACAGACGUGUAAGUAACUGUGCACGUCUUGACGGUACCUAAUCAGAAAGCCACGGCUAACUACGUG
RNAcentral lists this ribosomal RNA (497 nucleotides) under uncultured bacterium. Its description in RNAcentral is "partial 16S ribosomal RNA". It matches the Rfam family "Bacterial small subunit ribosomal RNA", at positions 28 to 507 of the family's 1533-position model. The record is from RNAcentral.